UACGAAGGGGGCUAGCGUUGCUCGGAAUGACUGGGCGUAAAGGGCGCGUAGGCGGAUGGCACAGUCAGAUGUGAAAUUCCUGGGCUUAACCUGGGGGCUGCAUUUGAGACGUGUGAUCUGGAGUGAGGAAGAGGGUUGUGGAAUUCCCAGUGUAGAGGUGAAAUUCGUAGAUAUUGGGAAGAACACCGACGGCGUAGGCAGCGCCCUAGACGAGACCUGACGCUCAGGCACGAAAGCGCGGGGAGCGAACAGG
RNAcentral lists this ribosomal RNA (253 nucleotides) under uncultured bacterium. RNAcentral's name for it is "partial 16S ribosomal RNA". It matches the Rfam family "Bacterial small subunit ribosomal RNA", at positions 524 to 776 of the family's 1533-position model. The record is from RNAcentral.